CUUUCUGCAGUGUAGUGGUUAUCACAUUUGCCUGAUAUGCAGAAGGUCCCUGGUUAGAAACCAGGCAUAAACA
Molecule: transfer RNA, 73 nt
Filed under: Columba livia (rock pigeon)
Lineage: Eukaryota; Metazoa; Chordata; Aves; Columbiformes; Columbidae
Rfam family: tRNA
About the family: Transfer RNA (tRNA) molecules are approximately 80 nucleotides in length. Their secondary structure includes four short double-helical elements and three loops (D, anti-codon, and T loops).
Source: Rfam by way of RNAcentral